This 1346-nucleotide long non-coding RNA is filed under the name Saimiri boliviensis boliviensis (Bolivian squirrel monkey). RNAcentral describes it as "lncRNA (ENSSBOG00000036427.1)". The record is from RNAcentral. Lineage: Eukaryota; Metazoa; Chordata; Mammalia; Primates; Cebidae.
GGGGGCCGCAGCGCCCCCUGGUGGCCGGCGCCCGGCGGCGGGAUGACCGCGCCGCCCUCUGCGCGAGGACCUGGGCAGCAAGACCCCCGGAAAGCGGCGUGCAGCGGGUUGUUUCCCAGAGUGCGGCUCCUAUAGGUGGCACAUAUGAGGACAUUAUUACAGGCCUUCACGGAAUGUUAAUAUGUGCACAGUCACAGGCAUUGUGUUAUCUAUUUUUUAAAAAGAUAAGAGAUUGUGGACCUGUCAAUAUCUUCUGACCUGACUAGUAGCAUGACAAAGAUCCCUUUGCCCUCAGCCAACACCUCUGCUACUCAGUGGACAUGUGACCACGGGACCUCUCACAUACUAUAGCAUCCGGAAGCGGCUGACCAGAGAGAGUAACACAAUGAUCUUUUGAAGAUGUAGCUAUGUGCCAGUCUGAAGAUGAUACUCUGCCCAGAGAGGACCCUAAAUUAAUGACUGUAUAUGCUACGAUGUCCCUGAUCGGUGGGCUCUCUAUGAAACAGGGAACCAACAGGUGAAAGUUAGAUUGGCCCCACUUGCCUUUGUUAGGAGUGACCCACUUGGAGACCCCUUCUUGUACCCUCAGUCCUAGGCUUUGGGCCUCUAGAGGUCCUAGUUGUCAAAGAGGAGUGCUUCCACUAUGAGCCUUAUUAUUAGUCCCAUUAAACUUUCAGCUACAAAUGCAGUCCAGUUACAAAGGGCUCCUUAGUAGAGAAACAAAAUAAUUAACACACCUGAGGGUAAUUGAACUUAUUCAUAGGAAGGAAAUACACUUAUUUUAUACAAAUCAAGGCAGGAAAGAAUAAGUUAAACACUGGAGAGAUCUCUUGUGGCUAUCUCUCAUUACCCCUGACAAAAAUUUUUGGCUUGGCCAAACUUUAGUCAGGCUCCGAAGACUUCUCCUAGGCCCAUCUGUGCACUUCCUUGUAAAAUCGUUUUACAAAGAACCUGCCAAGUCUGUUUAGCAAGAAGCCCCCACCCUCAAUAUCCGAUCAACCUGGAAAAUCCGACCAACGUGGAGAGCUGAUCCUGAUCAAUCUGAUCAACCUGGAAAGCUGAUCCUGUUCCUCAUCAUCUACUUUCUCCCCAGGUGAUGUCUGAUCAUCCUGCCUUGUCUUCAGCAAGAAUCCUGUUUGGUCGGUUGAACCAGAGUUCCCCGACCCUUCAUGUUUCCUCUAAGUAAUUUUCCUCCACUGAGUCCCACCCUGCUCCUUGCUAUAAAUUCCCACUUGCCCAUGCUUCAUUUGGAGUUGAGCCUAAUCUCUCUGCCUUAACGCAAAAUCUGAUUGCCGAGCUUCCUAUGCCUCUCUCAAUGGUCCCAAAUAAAGUCUGUCUGACUGUGC